Vicia faba (fava bean) is the source of this 294-nucleotide non-coding RNA. Lineage: Eukaryota; Viridiplantae; Streptophyta; Magnoliopsida; Fabales; Fabaceae. The record is from the annotation of a GenBank genome assembly.
AUGAGCUCUACAUAUGAAUUCUAUCAUGGUAUCAUUCUCUCGUGUCUGAUCCUCCACGCUUCCCUGAGCUUCGAUCCAUGCAAAUGUACGGUUUUCAUGUUCCACCUACAUUAUGCGAUGUUGAAGCCCUUCUCUACGUGUAAGAGGCACAACUUGACAAAUUUCGUCAAGAACUUGCAGCAUCAACUAUUACUGCCAAUAUUGCUCACUCAUGACGAUAUCAGCUCCAUAGGAGCUUACUCAGGCAAUUGUGGUCGUGGCAUCAGGUUUAAUCAUGGUCGUGGGCGUGGAUGA